Molecule: ribosomal RNA, 446 nt
Filed under: uncultured bacterium
Lineage: Bacteria
Description: bacterial SSU rRNA
Rfam family: Bacterial small subunit ribosomal RNA
Source: RNAcentral
CCAGACUCCUACGGGAGGCAGCAGUGAGGGAUAUUGCACAAUGGGGGGAACCCUGAUGCAGCGACGCCGCGUGGGUGAAGGAGUGCUUCGGCAUGUAAAGCCCUAUCGGCAGGGAAGAAGCAAGACGGUACCUGACUAAGAAGCCCCGGCUAACUACGUGCCAGCAGCCGCGGUAAUACGUAGGGGGCGAGCGUUAUCCGGAUUCACUGGGUGUAAAGGGAGCGUAGACGGCCAAGCAAGCCAGGGGUGAAAGCCCGGGGCCCAACCCCGGGACUGCCCUUGGAACUGCACGGCUGGAGUGCGGGAGGGGCAGGCGGAAUUCCUAGUGUAGCGGUGAAAUGCGUAGAUAUUAGGAGGAACACCAGUGGCGAAGGCGGCCUGCUGGACGAUGACUGACGUUGAGGCUCGAAAGCGUGGGGAGCAAACAGGAUUAGAUACCCUAGUAA